AAUGAUGCACAACUCAUUAUUAGAAUGUGCGUGAAAACUGACUCAAACAUAACAAAUUCAUUCUUUACUAUGAUUGUGAACACUCAUAAUUAAAUUAGGGUUUUUUUAAAUUACCUUCUUCUUGACAGGGCAGGAAGGUGCAAAUGAGCAUCUGAAGUAAGCUCUUGGACAAGGGUUGUCUCUGGUUACUUUCUGACCAUACUUUCUCCACUGAUAACCAUCCUUUACAAUCUGCAAAUAAGUUCACAUUGCUUUAUCUCAUUAGUAUCGGCGUGCUGAAGACAUAAUUAAGUAUGGAAAUGAAGAUAAAAGGUUUAUAUAACAAGGCUUUAGAAGACCAGCUGACCAAGUUGUAGGAAGGUGAGAAGAAAAUCAAGGAAAGAGGUAAAUAU
Solanum dulcamara is the source of this 392-nucleotide long non-coding RNA. RefSeq lists it as uncharacterized. The transcript has 2 exons. NCBI's taxonomy places the organism in Eukaryota, Viridiplantae, Streptophyta, Magnoliopsida, Solanales, Solanaceae. The record is from RefSeq and is a predicted model, not a curated record.